Long non-coding RNA from Tetranychus urticae (two-spotted spider mite), 3467 nucleotides. RefSeq lists it as uncharacterized. NCBI's taxonomy places the organism in Eukaryota, Metazoa, Arthropoda, Arachnida, Trombidiformes, Tetranychidae. The record is from RefSeq and is a predicted model, not a curated record.
UAAUUGCCAGUGUUCAACAUAAGAUAAGUUAAUUCACUCCACUAUUUGGUUUUGAAAAGUGUAGUCAAGUUUAAAAUUAAAAACCGUUAAAUAACCAAUAAUUGAGACAGACUGUGUUGGUCUAAAAUAAGAAACAAAGAAGCUGUAAAUUGAUUUAGCUAACAUUACCCUCGAUGUCCUCAUUAUUGUGCAAAUCAGCCAGUUGAGUUUAAUACAAAGAUUAAAAAGUGAAAAGUCUCUCCAUCAGAAUCUUUUGUAAAGCUCAAGAAAACACAUUUGAGAUGAUCUGGCCGAGGUUAGCCAAAAACAGCUGAACACAUUCACAAAGCUGACGUGAAGCAGCGAUAUAGUUGCAUGGUGAUUGAUUUUAAAGAUCAGGCGUAAUUUUAAAAAUGUAUCAAAAUUUGAUCACGAUGCACACAAAAUGGACAUUAAAGAUUCCUUGAUUAGACCUGCUAAAUUUGGAUUUGACUCAAAAAUUGGAAUUUCACUCAUUUUUAUUGAAUCAAUGAUAUUCAAAUCGGGAUUAAUGGUGAUGAGAAUGAUCAACAUGAUUUCAACCUUUUACUUUUAUUUUAAAUAUGUUGAUUAAUCUGCGUAAUCAUGGCGAAUGAUUUUGUUGUAAAGGAUAAACAGUCGACCACCCAACUUAAUGAUAAUCAGCACCAGUCAAACAACUUGUAAAGUCUGCUGGUCAACUGAGGAAGUGUCAAAGAAUCAAGUUGAUGAUGAUAAUGGACAACACACUGCGUGGGUCGUUUGUUAAUAAACGUGAUUACAAUUCAAGUGUUGGUUAGGAAGACAAAAGUUCACUUUGGUCAUUGCUUAUUCAUUUUUCAAAAUCGGAACCAUGUAUUAAUUAAUUGAUAUGGCUAAUUAAGUGUUGUAUUGGCUGCGUCAAUUGAAUUACAUGGUUGUUUCUCUUCUUUUUGACAGUUUCAUUUCAUUUGAAUAUAUUUCUAUUAUACAAUUUGGAAAGCAUAUCAUGAUUAUUGAUUGAUUAAGUGGUGUUACCGGUGAUGCAGACUGAAGCUUAAGCAAUGAGCAACCACAGUGAUAAAGAUUAAUCAGUCAAGCAGUUUCAAGGUGUUCAUCUGCUGUAAAUUAUUUCAUUUACAACCAUUAAUCACAUCCAACAACAAUCUCAACUCUCUAUUGUGUCUAAUGAUGGAAAACAAUCAACAUGUGAUUAGAGCAAAGAAUAAGUGGAUAAUUACCAUUAUUCAUACACCAAUAUUCAUCAAUUUAACCGGUCAAUUGGGAGAGAACGAUUGAAUAAUUUAACAAUCUUGAUGAUGUUGGUUACCGGUAUUACUAGUCGUAUUAUAUUUUCAUCACUAUUGUUAUCACUAUUAUUGUACUCAUCAUCAGAAUGAUUGGUUUAAAUUAUUUGGACGUAUAUUGUUGGACCCACAUCAUUUGUUACAUUUAAAUAAUUAGCUGAACAUUUUAAAUGGCCUGAUUGAUGAUUUCCAAUGAAAUGUAAUGUUUCUCUCAAAACACAAUUGUAAUUGUGACUUUCUAUUGCUGCUAUAUAAUACGAUUGUUAUACUCGUUUUAAUUAUCAUUUAAAAUGUUAAUCUUGAUGUUUAAUUGAAACAUAAUGCUGUUAAUGCUGUUGUGUGUUAUGAGCGAAGAGCCGAAAGGAUAAAAUAUGGCCGGUUCAAUUGUGUAUAUCAUCACGAAUAGUUCACAAUGCAAUUUUGUUGCCUUCUCUAACAAUUUGCAUCAACCAAAUCAAGUUAAUUAUAAUAAAUAAUGAUAGUUAAUGCGGAAAUGGCUUGAAAAAUAAACAAAAAGGCAAAAUUUAUUUUGUCCAAUUCACGAUCAUCAUCAUAUAAUACAUCAUAUAUACAUCAUCAUCACCAUUGAGGAUAAGAGCGCAAAGAUUAUUAAGUUACUAAGGACAGGUCAGAUGAAAGGCUAUCGUCACAAUUUUCAAUUGUUGUAAUCAAUAUUUCAUCCAAUUUGUGUAACAUCAUCAUCAACAACAACAACAGCAACAAUUGAUUGGCUUCAAUGGAGAUAAGUUGAGUGCUGAUGGAAGUAAAUGAACAAUUGGAAACAAAACAAAAUGGCAAAAUAUUAAAACAAGUAAAAUGGAAUAAUAAAGGAUUAAUUUUUGAUUCGGAUCAAAGAGCCUGAUUUGAGAUGAUGCUGAUGAUGGUAAAGGAGAGGGAGGAAAGAUGAUCAUGUAUAUCAUUAUUGAGAAGAUGAUAAAUGAAAGUGAUUCAAAUUUGAAAGGAAUUGAUAAUGUUAAGCCGAUUUUAAAUUGUAAAAUGACCCAAGGCGAAAUCACAUUAAAUGAUUCCAUCUCAUUUUGAGAUUGUCAUUUAUUUUGUAGGUAAUGAGUUGGCCAGAAACAAGGUAUUACAUCUAUUAUAAACAAGCAAAUCAUCAAUAAUUGCCCAAAGAACCGGUAAUUUAACCUGAUGGAAAUUAAUCAACCAAAAUAAAGCUUUCAAUCAGAAUCUUUUCCUAUUCGGUCGUUUGAUUCUCAUUUUCGCUGCACUUUAAUAGGAAUACCGAUUAAAACUGAGCCAUGUUGAUCGCUAAUUAAUCUUUAAUUAAACGUGAUUGCUGAUUGUUAUCUCCAAACUUUACCUUCAGUAUCAACAGUCCUGAAAGAUGGUCACACUUGGACACUCAACUUCGUUCUGAGUUUUAACCAGUUAAAUAUUCAAAUGUUUGCAAGUUUCAAAUUUAAGAAUUCAAAUUAGCUAAAUAAUUUGACUUAAACCUGUCAUGAUAAAAAGCAAACAAAAUAAAACAAAAUAAAAGUUCAACAUCGUGAAACACUUAACACAAUCAAGUAAACCUGGUCAACAACUGAAUCUAGUGGUGAAAUGAAUCUUCCCGGCGAAACUUGAACAUUGUAAUAUUAUCAAUGCCACUGACUACUAACUAAAGGAGUUGAUUGCAAAAGAUGUACUCUAAAUGGCCAUCUCAAGAGCAAACAAUUUAAUCCAUGAAAUAAGCCUGAAAUUAAUCAAAUUGCUGUUUAACCACUUUCACUCGAUUCCAUUGCGCUGUCAUUUCAACCAUCAAUCUAGUUUUCACAAUAAGAAGCAGCUAUUUCAAGUCAAGGACAAUCAACAAUUAACCAACAAAUCCACAAAUGUGCACUAUUAUACAUUAACAUUACCCAUCACAAAUCCUGCAGAGUUAUUAUAAUAUUUUUGAGCCUCCAGUGAUUUAGAUCAGUCAAUCACUUUUUUUUCAUUAACCUUAAGUUAUACUUAAUCUUUUUUCUGACUUGCUUAAAUGUUGUAAAUCAUUUCAGGUUCAGUCUUGAUUGUAACUUUUACUGUUUACUGUUUAUAACAUUUUAAAGAUGACUCAAGGAUUGACAAAUUGAAAUCAAAUAUACAAUUUAAAUUAGAUGGUUAUAACCAUGAUUGUGGUCAAGAUUGGAUGUAAAUGCGCUGUUAUUGCUACCAAAACAAAAUAUUUUCUGAUGAUCUAAU